CCAAUAAGCGGAGGAAAAGAAACUAACAAGGAUUCCCCUAGUAACGGCGAGUGAAGAGGGAAGAGCCCAAGAUUGAAAGCUGGCGUCUUCGGCGUCCGCAUUGUAAUCUCAAGAAGUGUUUUCCGCUUCGGACCAUGCCUAAGUCCCUUGGAAAAGGGCAUCAUAGAGGGUGAUAAUCCCGUACAUGGCAUGGAGCGCCCGAAGCUUUGUGAUACGCUUUCUAAGAGUCGAGUUGUUUGGGAAUGCAGCUCAAAAUGGGUGGUAAAUGCCAUCUAAGGCUAAAUAUUGGGGAGAGACCGAUAGCGAACAAGUACAGUGAUGGAAAGAUGAAAAGAACUUUGAAAAGAGAGUUAAACAGUACGUGAAAUUGCCAAAAGGGAAGGGUAGGAGGUCAGAGAUGCGGCCUAGGAUUCAGCCUUGCUUUUGCUUGGUGUUUUUCCUAGAUUGCAGGCCAACGUCGGUUUUGGGCACUGGAGAAUGGUGGAAGGAAUGUGGCACCUCUCGGGGUGUGUUAUAGCCUUCUACUGGAUACAGCGACCGAGACCGAGGACAGCAGCGUACUCGCAAGAGCGGGCCUUCGGGCACCUUUACGCUUAGGGCGUUGGCAUAAUGGCCCUCUACCACCCGUCUUGA
This 633-nucleotide ribosomal RNA is filed under the name Ustilago trichophora. Its description in RNAcentral is "LSU rRNA". It matches the Rfam family "Eukaryotic large subunit ribosomal RNA", at positions 43 to 657 of the family's 3401-position model. Lineage: Eukaryota; Fungi; Basidiomycota; Ustilaginomycetes; Ustilaginales; Ustilaginaceae. The record is from RNAcentral.